Molecule: long non-coding RNA, 618 nt
Filed under: Helianthus annuus (common sunflower)
Lineage: Eukaryota; Viridiplantae; Streptophyta; Magnoliopsida; Asterales; Asteraceae
Description: sRNA HanXRQr2_Chr12g0531911
Source: RNAcentral
GUCAAAACUUAGAGAUCAAACAAACAGAAUGACGAUUUAUUGCUUAUUCUUAGAUCAAAUACAAAAUGACGGAUUAAAGCAUGAAUCGAAUCUAAUUUACAUACUAAGCCAAAAUCGUGAUGCAAUUAUUAUCAGAUUAACAAAAGGGACAGAUACCACGUACCUACCGGAAACAAUCGCAGUGUCGAUUCGAAUCUAAAGCUUAGGAAAACGUCAUUGAACACGAAGAAUGAGGAAGAGGAGUUCAACACUGGGCCUCUCUCUGUCUUAAUGUUGAGUGUCAAAAACAAUACUCAGACGAAGAUUGUGUUGAUGUAGAAAUCAAACGCCAUGGUUUCUUUUGGCUUUCAGCAGUUAUGAACCCAUGAAUCUGAAUAUUUGGACUUUGGCUGCUGUAAGUAAAAACCCUAGAUGACAUCAACCGCGUCGCCAGCCACCAUAGUAAAACUACACUUUCAAUUCUUGAUCUCCGUCACAACAAACAAAUGAGGCACCGAUGAUCUAAAACUCUCACAAGAACUAACAGACGCAAGAUUUAACACAAGAUCAAUAAUCGACUGAAAACAAAAAAACUAUGAUAACACAAGAUCAAUAAUCGACUGAAAACAAAAAAACUAU